UGCCUCGUGGUGUAGUGGUAGCACGCGCCCCAGUAUGGAUAAAACACGGGUUCGACUCCCGGUGAGGUCG
Non-coding RNA from Parelaphostrongylus tenuis, 70 nucleotides. Lineage: Eukaryota; Metazoa; Nematoda; Chromadorea; Rhabditida; Metastrongylidae. The record is from the annotation of a GenBank genome assembly.